AACUCCAGCUCCAAAAGCGUAUAUUAAAGUUGCUGCAGUUAAAAAGCUCGUAGUUGGAUCUGGGUCGCGCGAUUACGUGUCGUUGCGUGGUUCUGAUUUCGGUCAGUUCCAUGUGAUGAUGAGGUGGUCGUGCAGCCUUUCAGCCGUGUCUGCGUGAGCAGGUGUUGGCUAGUCGGUGGGCUUGCUCGCUGGCUAGUUGGCAUGUUUCCUGAUGCCUUUAAACGGG
This 226-nucleotide ribosomal RNA is filed under the name Neodiplostomum spathula. RNAcentral describes it as "partial small subunit ribosomal RNA". Lineage: Eukaryota; Metazoa; Platyhelminthes; Trematoda; Diplostomida; Diplostomidae. The record is from RNAcentral.